This 3937-nucleotide ribosomal RNA is filed under the name Triticum aestivum (bread wheat). RNAcentral describes it as "partial small subunit ribosomal RNA". The record is from RNAcentral. Lineage: Eukaryota; Viridiplantae; Streptophyta; Magnoliopsida; Poales; Poaceae.
GACUGGACGACUACAACGACGACACGACCGGUCCCUCACUCAGGUGACUGUAUACCUGUGUUCUCUAUAAGUCAAUACUCCUAAUCCUAUAAUUACUAACAAGUCAGUAACUCCUAAGCUUUUCUCCGUAGUUACGAGGUCAUUUCCAACAUAACUUCAACACCGACAGUUAUCAGGAAAAUAACUACGAUUGAUGUACCGGAUAUACAAGUUCAUACUGAGGUGAUUACCGGGGAAAUCUCCUAGGUAAUUCCAGCACCUACUAAGUUAUGUCCUCUAAUUACGUUUUUUUUUAGUGUUGGUGUUCGUUUUCCAUUUAUACGGUCCCAAUCGACUAACAAACGGUAUAAUCACACCAACUAUAUCUACAGUACCAAAGAUUUAUACGUACUGUACAACAGGACUUUAUUCCUGUACACUUCGUUACUUCAGCGGCUUCAUUGUAAUAAUGAAUUAUUAGCUAAGUAUCAAAUCUCGGGGUACAAAAAACGUGUAAGUAUGACUGUAUAUUAUCGAAUGUUCACGUGCGAACAACAUGUAGAGCUCAUGACCUACAAGGAAGAGAAUAAAACUAAGACUACAAGUAUACAAUUAAAAGACGCUACCUCCCUUUCCUCUUCAGACUUACACGGUUGUUCAUCGCUGGUCACUCGACAGCAGAUACUAACCGAUACCCUCCUCAACAGAACGCGACGUUCCCGUAGAACGUCUAGCUAAAGGAACCAAACUACAUAGAGCCUAAGACUAAUCAGAAACUAAAGUGUGUAAACAAACCUAUAAAAGAAACGCAGUUCGUGGUACUAAAAAAAUAGUGAUCAGUUGUACGUGUCAUGAUAGAUUCGUAUCAACAACCAAGACUCGAAAACGUCGUGUAUUGUUUAGAAUCGAAAGUCCUUAAUACUAUAACCGGUAAAGGUGACUUGUACUUCUCCCAUGUACAUACCUGUACAUCUUUGACCUCACUUAAUUGUAUUAGGGUAUCUUACAUCAGACUCUUUACUCUUAUCAUGCGGUUGAGUCACUCCGUUCAUGGCCGGACAAAACGGUAGGGACACUAUUUACUUUCAAUCAAAUCCAUUAGAACCAAUAUUUUAGUAAAAGAAUUUCCGAAUUGAAUAUUGAACUGUCUUUAAAAAUAACGUGGACUUAUAAACUAAUACUUAGAUUCAAUACCCUUUAUCCACCUCAUUCUCCUUUACCCCGCAACAAUCCGCCCUGGAACGGUGACAACGGAACCCAAAACCGUAGCUUCGUGGUGGUACAUACCGAUCGGAAGGUACCGAUGUAGCUCCCAGGGUUAGACGUCAACUAUAUCUACGGUACUAAAUAUUUAUACGUACCGUACAACAGGACUCUAUUCCUGUCACUUCGUUACUUCACCGGUUCACUCGACCCUCGGCCCCAGUAGGGACAGUGGUGGUCAGCUUGUAUGAUGAAGUCGGUGGUACAACUCGCUAUAUUUUCACAAGAGACAAAGUAUCUCGUUGUUGUGCUCUAACACGGGGGUGAACGAGGACCACGUACAACGACGGGAGGAGGGGGGAGACUAAACUGAACGAAAUGUAACGCACUUCAACAAAUGAAAGUUGAAAUGUUUCGAUAUAGUUCAAGUGUUGACAUGAACCGAUGUUGACAUUGUACUACGUAAAGAGAAGGUCAAAUAACUUAUAUAAAAAUUCCUAACUUACAAGAUAGACCAUGACAGGAUAGUGAGUAAAUUGAUAGAAUUAAACAAGUGUUUUGAGGAAGACAUCGAUUCUAAAGAAACAUGUUGUGCAUGAUUAAUAACCAGAAUAAGAAUUUAGAAUAAAGUGCAAUAAGUCGACGUCCGACCCAAUUCUAACAAAAACACGGUCUUUGUCUGAUUCGUUACGAGAUUGGAAUUUCCCGUUGGACCACGUACAUCGAGGGCGAACGCGUCCCAGGUCCCUUCCCAGGCUGGUGAAACCCAGAUAUCAUGCGUCGGAAAGGGAUGUAAAGACAUUCUCCGACAAAGGUCCUGAACUUGGGUACUGGAGUACCAGUGUUCCGUCGUCGAAAUGGUGACGCGGUUACGAGAUUGGAACCGUCGUUUUUAACAGAUUUAAGGUAUUUAUUCCAGCACCUUGUAGAAACUUAUGCAAGUAAAUUUAUAGAACUCAGCUGGAUAUACCCAACGAAGACACGUGUUAGAGAAACUAUACUUAAAUAUCCUCUCUUUAAGAAAGUACCAUUACUACAUAAUAGCUAUAAAUGAGACAAAGAAUCCGUAUAUUCAAAGAAAAACACCCUACGUUAAUGCCGUGGUAUACUUAUACUAGGAACUCAACGUAUUGUAAAUAUUUCUUACAGAACCUUUAACGUUCAUCUACUAAUGCAAAUGGGACAUUGAAAUCCUCAUUCUAUAUAUACCACUAACUUAGAUCUCUACGAACGAUUAGAUAUUGCAAUUCUAGGUCAGUACACGUUAUACAAAAUAAGUAUCUUUGAACCUUAGUUAGACCGACUUUCAUUAGUGGAAUACCGCACCGUACUUCUCCAUCAAGUGUUUGGAGACAAUCCACGAGGUAGGAAACAGUGAGACUAAACGAAAGGAUUAUAGACCGAAGAGACUUGUCUACACACGUCUAAACUCUUUCUUCUCCUUAUUAGGUCGUCUUCUUAAACCACUUAUUCUUGUUGAACCGUAAAGAGAGAACACUUGUCUCAGUACGGACGGAAAACUAAAAUAACAAACACGAUUACGUUUGUUCUUAAGAGAUAUCAAGAACUGCGUUGUGGAGAUUAAUGAGUUAGACGUUAUGUACUAAUCCUCUUCAAAUCACGUACUUAAUCGUAAGAUAUUUCAGGCAGAUUCGAGUACAGAGAUCCGGUCCCAUCUAAAGAGUUAUAGUAAAAACCCUAACAAACUUGUGACUUGUUGUAACGGUCCAGUUGGUAAAGAGUACAUAAACAGUAUAGACAUCCAUAACACCACAGAGUUAAAACAGUGGUCGGAGAAAAUGGCUGGACAUUUGAUAGACAGAGCUCCAGAGGGACUGACAUAAACCCAAAUCUUUUUGUUUAUUGAUAAAAACCUGAAUAAAAACGUAGUUGAUGAAACAUCCAUAAUACACACAACAAUCCCUAGACUAUAAUACAUCAAGGUCCCUAAAGUCUGCCAGACCAGUCAGGUAACAAGAAAGGUACACUAUGAAAAAGAGUCAUAACACUAGUAGUCACGAGAACUGUGACCAAUGAAAAAGAAUAAUGACACUAGCAGUCACGAGAAUUGUAACCAACAAGAACGAAAUACCAACGGAAGGGUCACGUGGAAAUAAUGAAGAUUGUAUAAUUAAAAUUAUACGAACUAACUGGUAUAAUAUAUAAAGUGAAGUGGCCCCACCAACGACCUUCACAACCAAUUUUAUAAAACCGAUUUUGUAACAGAGAUUAAUAGUUCAAAUAUGUCAACUUAGAAGAACUAACUGAUAAAACAUCGGACGAGAAUCAACAUGUUAUAAUUAAGAAUUUUGACCUAGAGAAUUUUAAUCAAUUUAAAUUACUCAACAAAGUGACAAAAGUUUAUUCAUCGAAGUCGGGGUUGACACAGGAUUUCGAAUAAAAUGACGGAAAAGUUUAUUCAAAAAAAGGAACCGUGAUGAUAGUGACACAUGUCUACCAAUGACUUUCUUCUUCAUAAGUUCGUCGUAUGGAAGUGAACUGUCUACGAAAUUGGCGUUCUUGACAACAAUAAAAGAAAAGGAAACGACGUUAUUACCAUCAAGAGGAAACUAAGAUCUUCGGUGUUUCCUCACUUCCCAUCUCUAAAGUUAACAACAACUUAACCACCCCAAAAGUGGUUCAAUCACAACGUCUAACAAAGAUAAAAUCCCGUUCUUCGGUUUAGUAUAACAAGUAACAUUUAGAACUUUUUGAACAAAUGACAGUUAAGAUAUAGAUAAUAUUUGAAAAAGGA